UGGCUCAGUAACACGUGGAGAAUCUAACCUUUGGUGGAGGAUAAUCUCGGGAAACUGAGAAUAAUACUCCAUAAACAUAGGAUGCUGGAAUGCUUCUAUGUUGAAAGGCAACGCCAAAGGAUGACUCUGCGACCUAUCAGGCUGUAGUGAGUGUAAUGGACUCACUAACCUGCAACGGGUACGGGUGUUGGAAGACAUUGCCCAGAGAUGGACUCUGAGACAUGAGUCCAGGUUCUACGGAACGCAGCAGGCGCGAAAACUCCGCAAUGUACGAAAGUACGACGGGGGAAUUCUGAGUGCUUACGCCUUGCGUAGGCUGUUUUCUUGUCUAAAAAACAAGGAGAGUAAGGGCUGGGUAAGACGGGUGCCAUCUCGUGCAAUUCUGCACUUAUUGUGUUCGUUGCACGAAGCACAAGCCGCCGCGGUAAUACCCGCGGCCCGAGUGGUGCUCAUUAUUAUUGAGCCUAAGACGUCCGUAGCCGGUUUAAUAAAUUCUUGGGUAAAUCAUAUCGCUUAACGAUAUGAAUUCUGAGAACACUGCUAAACUCGGGAAUGGGAGAGGCCAGAGGUACUUUCAGGGUAGGGGUAAAAUCCCGUAAUCCUGAGAGGACCACCGGUGGCGAAGGCGUCUGGCUAGAACAUAUUCGACGGUAAGGGACGAAGCCCUGGGGCGCAAACGGGAUUAGAUACCCCGGUAGUCCAGGGUGUAAACGCUGUAGAUUUGGUGUUGGAAAUCCUACGGGGAUUCCCAGUGCCGGAGAGAAGUUGUUAAAUCUACUGCUUGGGGAGUACGGUCGCAAGACUGAAACUUAAAGGAAUUGGCGGGGGAGCACCGCAACGGGUGGAGCGUGCGGUUUAAUUGGAUUCAACGCCGAGAAACUCACCGGGGGCGACCAUUAUAUGAAGGCCAAGCCAAUGACUUUGCC
Molecule: ribosomal RNA, 926 nt
Filed under: uncultured archaeon
Lineage: Archaea
Description: bacterial SSU rRNA
Rfam family: Archaeal small subunit ribosomal RNA
Source: RNAcentral